This 1908-nucleotide long non-coding RNA is filed under the name Gallus gallus (chicken). RNAcentral describes it as "lncRNA (ENSGALG00010028834.1)". The record is from RNAcentral. Lineage: Eukaryota; Metazoa; Chordata; Aves; Galliformes; Phasianidae.
ACCCCCACCCUCACCCUAUAACCCUUACCUUUACCCUAACCCUAUAACCUUAACCCCCACCCUCACCCCAUAACCCUUACCCUAAGCCUAACCCUAUAACCCUUACCUUUACCCUAACCCUGUAACCCUCACCCUAACCCACAGCCCCAGCAUUGCAGGUGGGCAGCAGUGUACUGUGGGGUGCCUGCAACAACUUUGUAAGCUAGAACAAACCCUUUAAAUGAUGCACUAAGGAAUAACCCCCCCCUCUCCCCCCCCCCAGAGGGGCAGCACUCAGUGGGGGUGUCCAUCCCUACUGCUGCCUUCCCGGGGUGCUGCAUGGUGGGAGCAAAGCAGGGCGUGCGCUUCACCCUCCCCCCCCCCCCCCCCUUCUCCCCCCCUCCCCUUUGCAGUUUUAUUUAUUGUUCUGAGAAGCAAUUAAAGAAAAAAAAAAAAAAGGGAAAAAAAAAAAAAAGAUAAACUGUGUAUCUAUAAAUAUAUAUAUAUAUCUCUAUAUUUUUAACCUCUUUUUUUGGUUCCCCCCCCCCCUCCCCAAUGCUCCUCCACCUCUGUGUGUGUGUGUGUGUGUGUGUGUGUGUAUGUGUGAGUCUGGGGGGGGGAGGGGGGUCUGCACUGCGGAUGGCAGAGGGGGGACAUGGGAUGAGGGGACAGAGGGAAGGGUGGUCCCACUCCCACCCCUGCCUGUGGGUUUUUUGGGGGGGGUCUGGGGCGGGUGGGGGGGGGGGGGGGGAGCAGAAAAAGACCCUCAACGUGGGGAGAGAAGGGGCUGACCCUUAUUGUGCUGGGAUCUGUGAUAACCUCCAUCUUUCUAUAAGAGUUUGCACCCUCAGGUCCGCCUGAGGACACCCCGAGCCCCGGAGACCCCCACCCCUCCUGUGUGUCCCCCCACCCGCCCCCCCACUCCCCCUACCUGCACUCCUGACAAUCAGUGGCUCCUUCCCAGGAACUGCAGCACGUGGUUGAGACGUCCCAUUUGUUUUCUCAAUAUUCCUCCUCCUUUUAUUAUUAUUAUUAAUUUUUUUUGUGCUGUAUGGCUACGUGGAGGCUCCUCGGCCGCUCCUAUAUAUCCUUACGCCGGGCUCGGCCCCCCUCUCCUCCAGCGUCGGCUCCGGCCGUGGGGCCGCAGCGAAGACCCGCGUCCGCUCCGGGGGAUGCAGAGCCACCUCCGCUCCUCCUUUGCUGCGGCGCUGGGGAUGCCGUUGACUCCACCAGUGCAGACAGUGGCUUCCCCUGCUGUGAUGCCCCACUCGUUUCCUGGGCAGCCAAGAGCAAUGCUUGAGUCCUGGUGGAAGUUCAUUCAGAAUUGCCUGGAGCGAAGGCUGGAGAGGAAAACCACAACCACAGCAGAGCCUGGACACGGGGAGCUGCUAGCAGGACCCAUCUCAGGGACAGUCACUGUGUGUACCUUCCUCCAUCCUCCUCCUGCUCCCAGCAGCUGAUGGCCUGGAGCAGCACAGAGCAAGCCUGGCAUCGGGCUAUAGGGACACCAGGAGCACCCCGGGGAUAGGACCCAACACCAUGCCACACUGGUGGAGAACACAAAGCUGGAAGAGGGGAAAAAAAAAAUCAACAGAAGAAGAAGAAAAGAAUGGAAACGAAAGUCUCCAAACUCAGGAGAUCUGUGUUAAUUGCUUACGAACGUCUCCAUCCCAAAAGUUAUCCGAUUGAUGUUGUCGUGCUUUUUUUUUGACAGCCUGUCUGUUAUGUAUUUUUUUUUAAAUAUUCAUGCACCGAAAUCUAAUUACUAGGCAAAUUUAAUGAUAAUGAAAUGAAGGCACUUUAGCAGAAAGCAUAGGGCCUUGUUAAUAUUUUCUCAGUCUCUGUCUUGCUCACAUUUUUUUUUCACCGCCGCCUUUCUUGCAGUAUAAAAGAAUUGCCAAAAAUAAAACUUGGAUUGCUGAAGAUGUU